UUAAGCGACUAAGCGUACACGGUGGAUGCCCUGGCAGUCAGAGGCGAUGAAGGACGUGCUAAUCUGCGAAAAGCGUCGGUAAGGUGAUAUGAACCGUUAUAACCGGCGAUGUCCGAAUGGGGAAACCCAGUGCAAUUCGUUGCACUAUCGUUAACUGAAUACAUAGGUUAACGAGGCGAACCGGGGGAACUGAAACAUCUAAGUACCCCGAGGAAAAGAAAUCAACCGAGAUUCCCCCAGUAGCGGCGAGCGAACGGGGAGCAGCCCGGAGUCUGAAUCAGCUUGUGUGUUAGUGGAAGCGUCUGGAAAGUCGCAGGGUACAGGGUGAUACUCCCGUACACUAAAACACACAGGCUGUGAACUCGAAGAGUAGGGCGGGACACGUGGUAUCCUGUCUGAAUAUGGGGGGACCAUCCUCCAAGGCUAAAUACUCCUGACUGACCGAUAGUGAACCAGUACCGUGAGGGAAAGGCGAAAAGAACCCCGGCGAGGGGAGUGAAAAAGAACCUGAAACCGUGUACGUACAAGCAGUAGGAGCCCACUAGUUGGGUGACUGCGUACCUUUUGUAUAAUGGGUCAGCGACUUAUAUUCUGUAGCAAGGUUAACCGUAUAGGGGAGCCGCAGGGAAACCGAGUCUUAACUGGGCGUUAAGUUGCAGGGUAUAGACCCGAAACCCGGUGAUCUAGCCAUGGGCAGGUUGAAGGUUGGGUAACACUAACUGGAGGACCGAACCGACUAAUGUUGAAAAAUUAGCGGAUGACUUGUGGCUGGGGGUGAAAGGCCAAUCAAACCGGGAGAUAGCUGGUUCUCCCCGAAAGCUAUUUAGGUAGCGCCUCGUGAAUUCAUCUUCGGGGGUAGAGCACUGUUUCGGCUAGGGGGUCAUCCCGACUUACCAACCCGAUGCAAACUACGAAUACCGAAGAAUGUUAUCACGGGAGACACACGGCGGGUGCUAACGUCCGUCGUGAAGAGGGAAACAACCCAGACCGCCAGCUAAGGUCCCAAAGUCAUGGUUAAGUGGGAAACGAUGUGGGAAGGCCCAGACAGCCAGGAUGUUGGCUUAGAAGCAGCCAUCAUUUAAAGAAAGCGUAAUAGCUCACUGGUCGAGUCGGCCUGCGCGGAAGAUGUAACGGGGCUAAACCAUGCACCGAAGCUGCGGCAGCGACACUAUGUGUUGUUGGGUAGGGGAGCGUUCUGUAAGCCGUUGAAGGUGGCCUGUGAGGGUUGCUGGAGGUAUCAGAAGUGCGAAUGCUGACAUAAGUAACGAUAAUGCGGGUGAAAACCCCGCACGCCGGAAGACCAAGGGUUCCUGUCCAACGUUAAUCGGGGCAGGGUGAGUCGACCCCUAAGGCGAGGCCGAAAGGCGUAGUCGAUGGGAAACAGGUUAAUAUUCCUGUACUUGGUGUUACUGCGAAGGGGGGACGGAGAAGGCUAUGUUGGCCGGGCGACGGUUGUCCCGGUUUAAGCAUGUAGGCGGAUGUUCCAGGUAAAUCCGGAACGUUAUUAACGCUGAGGUGUGAUGACGAGGCACUACGGUGCUGAAGUGACAAAUGCCCUGCUUCCAGGAAAAGCCUCUAAGCAUCAGGUAACAUCAAAUCGUACCCCAAACCGACACAGGUGGUCAGGUAGAGAAUACCAAGGCGCUUGAGAGAACUCGGGUGAAGGAACUAGGCAAAAUGGUGCCGUAACUUCGGGAGAAGGCACGCUGAUGGUAGGUGAAGUGACUUGCUCACGGAGCUGAAAUCAGUCGAAGAUACCAGCUGGCUGCAACUGUUUAUUAAAAACACAGCACUGUGCAAACACGAAAGUGGACGUAUACGGUGUGACGCCUGCCCGGUGCCGGAAGGUUAAUUGAUGGGGUUAUCCUCACGGAGAAGCUCUUGAUCGAAGCCCCGGUAAACGGCGGCCGUAACUAUAACGGUCCUAAGGUAGCGAAAUUCCUUGUCGGGUAAGUUCCGACCUGCACGAAUGGCGUAAUGAUGGCCAGGCUGUCUCCACCCGAGACUCAGUGAAAUUGAACUCGCUGUGAAGAUGCAGUGUACCCGCGGCAAGACGGAAAGACCCCGUGAACCUUUACUAUAGCUUGACACUGAACACUGGUCCUUGAUGUGUAGGAUAGGUGGGAGGCUUUGAAGUGUGGACGCCAGUCUGCAUGGAGCCGUCCUUGAAAUACCACCCUUUAAUGGCUGGUGUUCUAACGUGGGCCCGUGAUCCGGGUUGCGGACAGUGUCUGGUGGGUAGUUUGACUGGGGCGGUCUCCUCCUAAAGAGUAACGGAGGAGCACGAAGGUCAGCUAAUCCUGGUCGGACAUCAGGAGGUUAGUGCAAUGGCAUAAGCUGGCUUGACUGCGAGCGUGACGGCGCGAGCAGGUGCGAAAGCAGGUCAUAGUGAUCCGGUGGUUCUGAAUGGAAGGGCCAUCGCUCAACGGAUAAAAGGUACUCCGGGGAUAACAGGCUGAUACCGCCCAAGAGUUCAUAUCGACGGCGGUGUUUGGCACCUCGAUGUCGGCUCAUCACAUCCUGGGGCUGAAGUAGGUCCCAAGGGUAUGGCUGUUCGCCAUUUAAAGUGGUACGCGAGCUGGGUUUAGAACGUCGUGAGACAGUUCGGUCCCUAUCUGCCGUGGGCGCUGGAGAAUUGAGGGGGGCUGCUCCUAGUACGAGAGGACCGGAGUGGACGCAUCACUGGUGUUCGGGUUGUCAUGCCAAUGGCAUUGCCCGGUAGCUAAAUGCGGAAGAGAUAAGUGCUGAAAGCAUCUAAGCACGAAACUUGCCCCGAGAUGAGUUCUCCCUGACUCUUUGAGGGUCCUGAAGGAACGUUGAAGACGACGACGUUGAUAGGCCGGGUGUGUAAGCGCAGCGAUGCGUUGAGCUAACCGGUACUAAUGAACCGUGAGGCUUAACCUU
RNAcentral lists this ribosomal RNA (2904 nucleotides) under Klebsiella oxytoca. RNAcentral describes it as "bacterial LSU rRNA". It matches the Rfam family "Bacterial large subunit ribosomal RNA". Lineage: Bacteria; Pseudomonadati; Pseudomonadota; Gammaproteobacteria; Enterobacterales; Enterobacteriaceae. The record is from RNAcentral.